RNAcentral lists this ribosomal RNA (581 nucleotides) under uncultured bacterium. Its description in RNAcentral is "bacterial SSU rRNA". It matches the Rfam family "Bacterial small subunit ribosomal RNA", at positions 249 to 844 of the family's 1533-position model. The record is from RNAcentral.
UUGGUGGGGUAAAAGCCUACCAAGGUAACGAUGCGUAGCCGGACUGAGAGGUUGACCGGCCACAUUGGGACUGAGAACGGCCCAAACUCCUACGGGAGGCAGCAGUAGGGAAUUUUCGGCAAUGGGGGGAACCCUGACCGAGCGAUGCCGCGUGAAUGACGAAGUUCUUCGGAAUGUAAAAUUCUUUUGUGUGGGAAGAAAAAGCAAUUAUUGACGGUACCACAAGAAUAAGCCCCGGCUAACUAUGUGCCAGCAGCCGCGGUAAUACAUAGGGGGCAAGCGUUAUCCGGAUUUACUGGGCGUAAAGGGUGCGUAGGUUGUUAUUUAAGUUUAUGGUAUAAGCACAAUGCUUAACGUUGUGAGGCUGGGAAAACUAGAUAGCUAGAGUAAGACAGAGGCAAGUGGAAUUCCAUGUGUAGCGGUAAAAUGCGUAAAUAUAUGGAGGAACACCAGUGGCGAAGGCGGCUUGCUGGGUCUUGACUGACGCUGAUGCACGAAAGCGUGGGGAGCAAACAGGAUUAGAUACCCUGGUAGUCCACGCCGUAAACGAUGAGUACUAAGUGUUGGCCAAAAAGGUCAGU